UACAGAGGUCUCAAGCGUUGUUCGGAAUCACUGGGCGUAAAGGGUGCGUAGGCCGCACGGCAAGUCAGAGGUGAAAUCCCGGAGCUCAACUCCGGAAUUGCCUCCGAUACUGCCGUGCUCGAGGACUGGGGAGGAGUCUGGAAUUCACAGUGGAGCAGUGAAAUGCGUAGAUAUUGUGAGGAACACUAGUGGCGAAGGCGAGACUCUGGACAGUUCCUGACGCUGAGGCACGAAGGCCAGGGGAGCAAACGGG
RNAcentral lists this ribosomal RNA (253 nucleotides) under uncultured bacterium. Its description in RNAcentral is "partial 16S ribosomal RNA". It matches the Rfam family "Bacterial small subunit ribosomal RNA", at positions 524 to 776 of the family's 1533-position model. The record is from RNAcentral.